CCUACGGGAGGCUGCAGUGGGGAAUAUUGCACAAUGGGGGAAACCCUGAUGCAGCGACGCCGCGUGAGUGAAGAAGUAAUUCGUUAUGUAAAGCUCUAUCAGCAGGGAAGAAAAUGACGGUACCUGAGUAAGAAGCCCCGGCUAACUACAUGCCAGCAGCCGCGGUAAUACGUAGGGGGCAAGCGUUAUCCGGUUUUACUGGGUGUAACGGGAGCGUAGACGGCAGUGCAAGUCUGAAGUGAAAGGCGGGGGCUCAACCCCCGGACUGCUCUGGAAACUGUACGGCUGGAGUGCAGGAGAGGUAAGUAGAAUUCCUAGUGUAGCGGUGAAAUGCGUAGAGAUUAGGAGGAACACCAGUGGCGAAGGCGGCUUACUGGACUGUAACUGACGUUGAGGCGCGAAAGCGUGGGGAGCAAACAGGAUUAGAUACCCGAGUAGUC
This 440-nucleotide ribosomal RNA is filed under the name uncultured bacterium. RNAcentral's name for it is "partial 16S ribosomal RNA". It matches the Rfam family "Bacterial small subunit ribosomal RNA", at positions 338 to 795 of the family's 1533-position model. The record is from RNAcentral.